UCUAGGCAGCCAUAUCACCCUGCAGCCCAAGACUGGUUGCCCACUGAAGCUAAGCAGGGUUGAGCCUGGUCAGUACCUGGAUGGGAGAUCUCCUGGGAAAACUAGGUUGCUGCUGGAA
This is a ribosomal RNA of Sinocyclocheilus grahami, 118 nucleotides long. Lineage: Eukaryota; Metazoa; Chordata; Actinopteri; Cypriniformes; Cyprinidae. The record is from Ensembl.